RNAcentral lists this ribosomal RNA (220 nucleotides) under uncultured bacterium. RNAcentral's name for it is "partial 16S ribosomal RNA". It matches the Rfam family "Bacterial small subunit ribosomal RNA", at positions 111 to 334 of the family's 1533-position model. The record is from RNAcentral.
UAAUGUAUGGGAGUCUGCCCGAUAGAGGGGAAUAACUACUGGAAACGGUGGCUAAUACCGCAUAAUGUCUACGGACCAAAGCAGGGGCUCUUCGGACCUUGCACUAUCGGAUGAACCCAUAUGGGAUUAGCUAGUAGGUGGGGUAAAGGCUCACCUAGGCGACGAUCUCUAGCUGGUCUGAGAGGAUGAUCAGCCACACUGGGACUGAGACACGGCCCAG